This 355-nucleotide long non-coding RNA is filed under the name Equus caballus (horse). Its description in RNAcentral is "lncRNA (ENSECAG00000043468.2)". Lineage: Eukaryota; Metazoa; Chordata; Mammalia; Perissodactyla; Equidae. The record is from RNAcentral.
GCCGAGGAGAGCCGCUCGCCUCCACGCUCCCCCUUCCCGCCCGCGGCCGCGACCGGCAGGAACCCGGCCAGAGGGAGGCCCCCGCUUGCGAGCGCUUCGCUGAGCGCGCCCUGACGCCCGGUGUGCUAUAUAUCACCUACUCUGGACAGCCCUGUUCUUUCUCACAAAGUGUGUAAAUGAAGGCUCAGAGAGAAAGAGCUUCAUAGAAAGGAAACUGAGGCAGUGUUGGGGCAAGAAUCCUCUUUGUGGUGAUUUCUUAGCACAGCAGAGCCAUUGAAACGUUUGCAAAAUAGCAAAGGGUUCCAGAUGGGAGGGGCCGCUGUUCAAAAUCCAGACCACCCAACGGGCACAUCAG